RNAcentral lists this unclassified non-coding RNA (176 nucleotides) under fungal sp. RNAcentral describes it as "partial internal transcribed spacer region". The stretch from base 1 to 46 matches the Rfam family "Eukaryotic small subunit ribosomal RNA", at positions 1786 to 1831 of the family's 1831-position model. RNAcentral also lists the same sequence under 1 other name. Lineage: Eukaryota; Fungi. The record is from RNAcentral.
AAGUCGUAACAAGGUUUCCGUAGGUGAACCUGCGGAAGGAUCAUUAACAAAUGUGAAAUAUUUAUUAUAUAUACGAGCAAUGCAGUCUUUUGACUGGCAUAUAAAAUAAACACCUUAUUUGUAGUAAUAAAAACAUAAUUUAUAUACAACUUUUAACAAUGGAUCUCUUGGCUCUC